AAUAAGCGCAGUUGUGAGUUUUAGUGCCCAACUUUGACCAUCCGUAAUAUUUUUAUGAUUAGUAUUUUUAUUGUUAUUAGAUGAAAAUAUAAAUAAUACUUUAUGCGUGACCUAACUUUUUAAAAAAAUUUCAUAAAUUUUUUAAAUAAGACGGCCAAACAUUUGAACACGAAAACUUAUAGCUGCACUUAUA
Molecule: non-coding RNA, 193 nt
Organism: Oryza meridionalis
Lineage: Eukaryota; Viridiplantae; Streptophyta; Magnoliopsida; Poales; Poaceae
Source: Rfam